Molecule: ribosomal RNA, 1012 nt
Filed under: Staphylococcus epidermidis
Lineage: Bacteria; Bacillati; Bacillota; Bacilli; Caryophanales; Staphylococcaceae
Description: bacterial LSU rRNA
Rfam family: Bacterial large subunit ribosomal RNA
Source: RNAcentral
CAGGCUUUGGGUAGCUGUAAGUAAGCGUUGAUCCAGAGAUUUCCGAAUGGGGGAACCCAGCAUGAGUUAUGUCAUGUUAUCGACAUGUGAAUUCAUAGCAUGUCAGAAGGCAGACCCGGAGAACUGAAACAUCUUAGUACCCGGAGGAAGAGAAAGAAAAAUCGAUUCCCUGAGUAGCGGCGAGCGAAACGGGAAGAGCCCAAACCAACAAGCUUGCUUGUUGGGGUUGUAGGACACUCUAUACGGAGUUACAAAAGAACAUGUUAGACGAAUCAUCUGGAAAGAUGAAUCAAAGAAGGUAAUAAUCCUGUAGUCGAAAACAUAUUCUCUCUUGAGUGGAUCCUGAGUACGACGGAGCACGUGAAAUUCCGUCGGAAUCUGGGAGGACCAUCUCCUAAGGCUAAAUACUCUCUAGUGACCGAUAGUGAACCAGUACCGUGAGGGAAAGGUGAAAAGUACCCCGGAAGGGGAGUGAAAGAGAACUUGAAACCGUGUGCUUACAAGUAGUCAGAGCCCGUUAAUGGGUGAUGGCGUGCCUUUUGUAGAAUGAACCGGCGAGUUACGAUCUGAUGCAAGGUUAAGCAGCAAAUGUGGAGCCGCAGCGAAAGCGAGUCUGAAUAGGGCGUUGAGUAUUUGGUCGUAGACCCGAAACCAGGUGAUCUACCCUUGGUCAGGUUGAAGUUCAGGUAACACUGAAUGGAGGACCGAACCGACUUACGUUGAAAAGUGAGCGGAUGAACUGAGGGUAGCGGAGAAAUUCCAAUCGAACUUGGAGAUAGCUGGUUCUCUCCGAAAUAGCUUUAGGGCUAGCCUCAAGUGAUGAUUAUUGGAGGUAGAGCACUGUUUGGACGAGGGGCCCCUCUCGGGUUACCGAAUUCAGACAAACUCCGAAUGCCAAUUAAUUUAACUUGGGAGUCAGAACAUGGGUGAUAAGGUCCGUGUUCGAAAGGGAAACAGCCCAGACCACCAGCUAAGGUCCCAAAAUAUAUGUUAAGUGGAAAAGGAUGUGGCG